UGUAAUUAGGACUGGGCAUCAUUUCGUUAUCAGCUUCCCAAGCUGAUAACGAGGGUUCGAUUCCCUUCACGCUCCA
RNAcentral lists this transfer RNA (76 nucleotides) under Pseudomonas mohnii. RNAcentral describes it as "tRNA-Gly". The record is from RNAcentral. Lineage: Bacteria; Pseudomonadati; Pseudomonadota; Gammaproteobacteria; Pseudomonadales; Pseudomonadaceae.